RNAcentral lists this ribosomal RNA (423 nucleotides) under uncultured bacterium. Its description in RNAcentral is "partial 16S ribosomal RNA". It matches the Rfam family "Bacterial small subunit ribosomal RNA", at positions 359 to 774 of the family's 1533-position model. The record is from RNAcentral.
GAAUACUGGACAAUGGGCGAAAGCCUGAUCCAGCCAUGCCGCGUGUGUGAAGAAGGUCUUUGGAUUGUAAAGCACUUUAAGUUGGGAGGAAGGGCAGUAAGCGAAUACCUUGCUGUUUUGACGUUACCGACAGAAUAAGCACCGUCCAACUCUGUGCCAGCAGACGCGGUAAUACAGAGGGUGCAAGCGUUAAUCGGAAUUACUGUGCGUAAAACGCGCGUAGGUGUUUCAUUAAGUUGGAUGUGAAAUACCCGGGCUCAAACUGGGAACUGCAUACAAAACUGGCGAGCUAGAGUAGGGCAGAGGGUGGUGGAAUUUCCUGUGUAGCGGUGAAAUGCGUAGAUAUAGGAAGGAACACCAGUGGCGAAGGCGACCACCUGGGCUCAUACUGACACUGAGGUGCGAAAGCGUGGGGAGCAAACA